GAUAAACGGUGUACAUUCUUCAAGCAAGGGCAUUCUUCCGUUGAGCUAAACGAAGUUGCGUGCAGGAAGAUAAAUGUGCCUAAUUAAUAUUAAUUUCAAGUUACAAAGUAUGGAGGAACCAGUAAAAUUGUUAUAACUGCAGUUACAAGGCCGAACGACAUUAUCUUGCGUCGUUGUUUCUUCUAUUUUUACGACUUCCGCAUUUCGCAGUUCUGCCAUCAAAAUUUGAAUUACGCGCUUCUAGAGAAAGUCACGUGGUCAGCGACAAUCGCCGCAUACUUGUGCUCGCAAGGACGCGCAUUAUCGUUUCAUCAAUGAAGACGUGUGCGUAGCGUUGGAUAAAUCAUGCAUUUCUCGUAUAACGUCGUCAUCGUUAUUGCUAUCACCGUUCAGCAUCAUCAGAAUGCGUGAUUGAGACGAUUGCAUUGAAACCGAUAUGAAGGAUCAUGUUAUCGAGAGGCGCGAGAAAGAUCAAAGUUGUCGCGCGAACAUCACGAAGGCGAGCACGAGGGCGGGAACUUGGACGUGGCGGGCCUAAAAAUAUGCCGACGAUACGCAUCAUAGCCCGUGCAUAUACGAGGGGGUUGGUUUUACGUUUAAAAGUACAUUUGGCGAUGCGCCAGGAGCAUGUCGAAAAAAAUCCCCACGGCGUAAACGCACAGCCGAGUCGCGGUGUCGUGCACGCCGCGUCGUCAACCGCGUGCGGCUCGCGCGGAAUGUUCACUGCCGUUCAAUGAGCCAGAAAACAUCAAAGAACCAAAGGGUAGAAGAAUACGAAUUUGGAAGAUUAAUGAACGAUACUGUAGCAAAGAUGACAACGAACCUUGAAGGUGGUGUUGGCAGGAUGGUGCACAUCACCGGAGCCGGAUAGUCCACCCCGUAGUAAACGCGAGAGAAGAUUGUAGCGACCCGCCGUCGACCAUGCAUCCUUCGUCGCUUGCACGGGAUACCUAAUUGACUUUGAGUCGUUGCUGAGCAACCAACCCUGAGGGCAGAGACACUUAGUUUCGCUCAGAAACUGAUCGAGAGCAACGCAGCGAUAAUCACAGCCGCAGCCACUGAUCGCAGGUAUAAUGAGGAUUUCACCCGGCCCGUAAUGAGCUGCGUCCUUGAAGUGGAUAUUCGUAUGGUCCAAAUUGGGUCCGGUCCUGUCAGUCGGCGUGGGGCCGCUAUGGAGAGUCCAGCCUAAAGGCCUCCCGGAAACGUUCUUCCAUCCGCACCAACCGCUCUGGAAAUUGCAUCUUGCGUGCUCAGUAAUGGGAAAUGUGCGCACCGCAUCCGAACAGUUCAUCCUCGCCGCCAGGGCAAUCGUAUGUUAAAUCGCAGACCUGAGAUCUGUUCAAGCAGGCGAACGUUGUCGAUGGCGACACUUGAAUUCUUAAAGGGCGCAUAGACCUCCAAGAAUAAUCUGUAAGAUGGAGUGGCUGCGCGCGCCUCAAAGGAUACUCUCUCCCAUCUGGAAAAAUGACAUUGAACUAUCCACGACGAUGAGACUUAUCCCGCCAUGCUGCAUCUCUACCUGAUAGAUCCAAAACUCGAUGCGGCAGUACAUGAUUGAGCGGGGGAGCGGCAUGGACCACGUUUGACCAUAUCCGGGACCUCUGUACCACAGGAAGUGGCCUUAAAAAAACGAAUCGCAAAUCAAUCUUCACGCAAAUUGUCGGCGUCCAUGGACGGCAGGAUGACGCUGGUCGACGACGCCGUGACUCUCGUGAAGCUCGAGGUGCGGUUCCAGAACCAGAUGUUACAAGGCACCUCGAAAUCGCAGUAGCCUAGUGCCUGGCGCGGAU
Ooceraea biroi (clonal raider ant) is the source of this 1790-nucleotide long non-coding RNA. RefSeq lists it as uncharacterized. The record is from RefSeq and is a predicted model, not a curated record. Lineage: Eukaryota; Metazoa; Arthropoda; Insecta; Hymenoptera; Formicidae.